RNAcentral lists this transfer RNA (73 nucleotides) under Bacteroidota bacterium. Its description in RNAcentral is "tRNA-Met". It matches the Rfam family "tRNA". From Rfam's summary of the family: Transfer RNA (tRNA) molecules are approximately 80 nucleotides in length. Their secondary structure includes four short double-helical elements and three loops (D, anti-codon, and T loops). Lineage: Bacteria; Pseudomonadati; Bacteroidota. The record is from RNAcentral.
CGCGGGAUGGAGCAGUGGUAGCUCGUCGGGCUCAUAACCCGAAGGUCACAGGUUCGAGUCCUGUUCCCGCUAC